CAUUAAUACCGGAUAACGUCCCUGGACCAAAGGUGUGAUUCCGCCUGGGGAGGGGCCUGCGUCCUAUCAGCUAGUUGGCAGGGUAAUGGCCUACCAAGGCUUUGACGGGUAGCGGGUGUGAGAGCACGACCCGCCUCACUGGGACUGAGACACUGCCCAGACACCUACGGGUGGCUGCAGUCGAGAAUCUUCCGCAAUGGGCGAAAGCCUGACGGAGCGACGCCGCGUGCGGGAUGAAGGCCUUCGGGUUGUAAACCGCUGUCAGUGGGGAGGAAAUGCACGGGGGUAAUAAAUAAUCCUUCGUGUUCGACCGAUCCGCAGAGGAAGCACAGGCUAAGUUCGUGCCAGCAGCCGCGGUAACACGAACUGUGCAAACGUUAUUCGGAAUUACUGGGCUUAAAGAGUUCGUAGGCGGCUUGGUAAGUCGGGUGUGAAAUCCCUCGUCUCAACCCGAGGAAUU
Molecule: ribosomal RNA, 460 nt
Filed under: uncultured bacterium
Lineage: Bacteria
Description: bacterial SSU rRNA
Rfam family: Bacterial small subunit ribosomal RNA
Source: RNAcentral